Oryza barthii is the source of this 205-nucleotide non-coding RNA. Lineage: Eukaryota; Viridiplantae; Streptophyta; Magnoliopsida; Poales; Poaceae. The record is from Rfam.
AAAAAGACAAACCCUGAGUUUCCGUGUCCAACUUUGACUGUCCGUCUUAUAUAAAAUUUUUUUAUAAUUCGUAUUUUCAUUGUUGUUAGAUGAUAAAACAUGAUUAAUAUUUUAUGCGUGACUUGUCUUUUUAAUUUUUUUUCAUAAUUUUUUUAAAUAAGACGGACGGUUAAACGUUGGGCAUGGAACUAGGGUUUGUCUUUUU